GCUUCUGUGGUGUAGAAAGGCACGAAAGGUUGUGGUUCUUUAGGAGGGCAUAAGGCCCCGGAGGUC
This 66-nucleotide transfer RNA is filed under the name Pecten albicans. RNAcentral describes it as "tRNA-His". The record is from RNAcentral. Lineage: Eukaryota; Metazoa; Mollusca; Bivalvia; Pectinida; Pectinidae.